RNAcentral lists this ribosomal RNA (428 nucleotides) under uncultured bacterium. Its description in RNAcentral is "partial 16S ribosomal RNA". It matches the Rfam family "Bacterial small subunit ribosomal RNA", at positions 354 to 796 of the family's 1533-position model. The record is from RNAcentral.
GUCGAGAAUCUUCCGCAAUGCGCGAAAGCGUGACGGAGCGACACCGCGUGAUGGAUGAAGUCCUUCGGGGCGUAAACAUCUUUUAUAAAGGAGGAAAUUUUUGACGUUACUUUAUGAAUAAGGGGCUCCCAAUCUCGUGCCAGCAGGAGCGGUAAUACGAGAGCCUCAAGCGUUAUCCGGAAUCAUUGGGCGUAAAGGGUGCGUAGGUGGUUUGAUUAGUCUCCCGUUAAAACUUCGAGCUUAACUCGAAAAGAGCGGGGGAAACGGUCAAACUAGAGUAUGUGAGAGGUGUGUGGAACUCAUGGUGUAGGGGUGAAAUCCGUUGAUAUCAUGGGGAAUACCAAAAGCGAAGGCAGCACACUGGCACAUCACUGACACUGAGGCACGAAACCUAAGGUAGCGAAUGGGAUUAGAAACCCCGGUAGUCC